UAUCUCUUUACCUUACUCAUCAAAUGAUUUAACCACAAUGCAGUACUUUCCGACUUAAACAUGCUUCAACAGAAGUGCCAUUGCCUAAUGAACAUAAGAACAUUGAUUCUAUACCUAGCAAAAAAACGUUACUAAUGUUGCUAUGUGAAAGUUCUGCACAUUUAAUUUUGCAACUUUCGCUUAUCUUCAAAAGUUGCAGCUGCUACAUUUUGAGUUGAUUUCCAGAUUCCCUUUAUUGACAGGUGUGGGCUGAUGCUAAAAUAA
Molecule: unclassified non-coding RNA, 264 nt
Filed under: Hevea brasiliensis (rubber tree)
Lineage: Eukaryota; Viridiplantae; Streptophyta; Magnoliopsida; Malpighiales; Euphorbiaceae
Source: RNAcentral